UUAAAGUCUAACCUGCCCACUGAAAAUUUAAAUGGCCGCAGUAUUCUAACUGUGCAAAGGUAGCAUAAUCAUUAGUCUUUUAAUUGAAGGCUGGAAUGAAUGGUUGGACGAAAUAUUAACUGUUUCAUUUAAAUUUUUUAUAGAAUUUUAUUUUUUAGUCAAAAAGCUAAAAUAUAUUUAAAAGACGAGAAGACCCUAUAAAUCUUUAUAUUUUAUUUAUUUUAAUUAUAAAGAUUAUUUUUGUUAUAAUAAAUAAAAAUAUUUUAUUGGGGUGAUAUUAAAAUUUAAAAAACUUUUAAUUUUUAAAUCCAUUAAUAUAUGAAUAAUUGAUCCAUUAAUAAUGAUUAAAAAUUUAAGUUACUUUAGGGAUAACAGCGUAAUUUUUUUGGAGAGUUCAUAUCGAUAAAAAAGAUUGCGACCUCGAUGUUGGAUUAAGAUAUAAUUUUGGGUGUAGCCGUUCAAAUUUUGAGUCUGUUCGACUUUUAAAUUCUUACAUGAUCUGAGUUCAAACCGGCGUAAGCCAGGUUGGUUUCUAUCUUUAAAAAAUUGUAAUAUUUUAGUACGAAAGGACCAAAUAUUAAAAUAAUUAUAUUUUUAGUAAGAAUAUUAUUAAUGUAA
This 618-nucleotide ribosomal RNA is filed under the name Drosophila nigra. Its description in RNAcentral is "partial 16S ribosomal RNA". It matches the Rfam family "Bacterial large subunit ribosomal RNA", at positions 1845 to 2743 of the family's 2925-position model. The record is from RNAcentral. Lineage: Eukaryota; Metazoa; Arthropoda; Insecta; Diptera; Drosophilidae.